Molecule: long non-coding RNA, 21765 nt
Filed under: Citrus x clementina
Lineage: Eukaryota; Viridiplantae; Streptophyta; Magnoliopsida; Sapindales; Rutaceae
Description: Citrus clementina (C. clementina) long non-coding RNA (CCLE_LNC000127)
Source: RNAcentral
GUUGGUGCAAAUUUUGUCCCAAUUUAUUAUGUGAAAAUUCCAACUGAUGACGAUCCUCUUAGGACUUGGGUUUCUCUUUGCUGGAUUUGACGAUGAUAAGUUUAUCUUUUGGGCCGAUCUUAAUGGGCAUUUAUAUAUCAUCUUCUGAGUUCACUUCCUUAGAUAAUGAGAAUGUGUUUGUCCAGUAAUACUCUAUAAACACAAAAAAAAGAUCAAAGAGCCGGCUUUACUGGUGUAAACCCUCCGCCGAUUAAGUCGGUCAUUGGACUUUUGGAAAUGUAAAUUUAGAAAGAGAAAGAUUAGAGAGUUCUAGUUAGUGUUUUUUCUUUUGAGUCCAUUUUUUUCUUAUUUUUUAGUGAGAAAGAAAGGUAUAUUUAUGAGCGAAUUUGAUUUGACUUGAGUUCUAGUUAUUUUCAUGACAAGUGUCAUUAUUCUUAUCAUAUUUGGCAACACUUGUUUGUUUGUUUGUUUGUUUGUGCCCACGUUAAUUGACAUAUGAAUGUGCAAACUUGUUUAUAGAUUUAAGAAAGAAGUGUUUUAACGUUAGGUUGUUUUUACUAAAACUCUGGGAUGAUGGGAACCUUAGAACCUAAGAGAUUUAUUCUAAGUAGUUUGUCUGAGGAUAGGAGCCUAGAACCUCGAUAUCUUUUGGGUUUUGAAGUCUCAUCAUCUAAGAGAAUUAUCCUAAGUGGUUCGUCUUAUGAUAGGAUCCUAGGACUUUAAAACCUUUUAGCCUUGGACUUUGGGACUCUUUAAACUUUGAAACCUUGUUACUUAGGAAGAUUAUUCUAUGUGGUUUGUUCACCAUUUUGCAGGCUUAAUUGAGAGUAAAUUUAUUAGACGGGCCUUAUUGAGAUUAAAUUUAUUUGGAUUUUGAUUGGGCUUAUUCUAUUUUUUGUCCAACAAAGAGAAUAGUAAGAUAUUUAUUUAAAUGUUUUAAUAGAUUCAGCAAAUUUUGAUUAACAGUUCUUGCUUUUAUUUAUGCACUUCGACUUUUGAAAACAUCCAAAAGGAUCUAUAGAUGAAAUUUAUAAGCUCAUCCCAUGUAACUUAGUUUACAGUCAGGCCAUUAUUCGGGUGGUCCCAACAUAUGGCGUUGACUUUUUUAAGUUACAUGGCCAUGGCCCAAGAUAUUAACAUUGAGUUGAAGGUUUACAAACAAUGAGAUGACGAAAGAGAGGUGAUAUUUUACACCUCAAUUUUUCUUAUCAAUCUCUAUUAUUUAGUUAAUUUUAUUUACAUUUAAAAUUAUUUUUAUUAAAUGAUAAAAAUAUGAUAAAAAUUUUCCAAAAAUUCUAUCCACCUUUCACCACUAUUGUCACUGCCUAAACCACCAUUUGUUUUAUCACUCAUUACAAUCUCAACUGCUUUUAUUACUAACUCAUUUUCAUUAUCUGUCAUUCAUUCCAUUUAAUUUAAUGAUUUUUUGAUUUCCAUAUUAAAAUUAUUCUUUACCUCUUUUCAUUUGAUGUUAUUUUAAUUUUGAUACUAUCAUAUCAAUCUCACUAAAAUCAAUUCAAAUAAAUGAGGAGUUUUGGUCCCAAUUGAUGGAAAAUUUGCUAGUGCUAGUAAGGUCAGUCCAGAAUUAAAGUUUAGUGUCGCAGGUGGCUAGAUUUUUUUAAAUUGUAUUUUUUUAAUUUUUUUAUUGUUUAACAAAGGUUGUAGAAAUAAGUGAGAAAUCUAUGCUAACACUAUUAUUCACUACUUACCACAUGUAUAUGUGUGUCAUUAUAAUUAGUUUAAAUAUAUGUAUAGAAAGGAGCAAAUAAAAGAUGAACAAUGCUCCUAGAGUACUUAAGAAUUUUUCCAGAAAUUGGUGUUAAGCAAAUAAAAGCACCAGGUCGGCCAUGCUAUUAUUUCCACCCCGGCAUGAAUCACCUCAGCCAAAUGGUACGAGCAGAACAGGGGGCAACAUGAGCCGAGCACAGACGAAUACUGACCAGAGGUAUAUACCGAGCCGAUACCCGUCCCCCAAAAAGCGAAAACACGAUCUCACAGAAUCGCGGCAGUUGCGCUUUCCCAGAACCGUUGCGGGAGACGCGAGAUCCCACGUUUGUCCAUAACGCAGCAGUUAGAGUCCCAUGAGGGGCUGCCACUACCCGAAAAAGGUGGGAUGAAGGGCAAACGGAAACGUGAGGACAGCGGCUAUAAAAGAAGAAGAAAUCGACGAAGAAUGGGACAGAAAAUCUGGGAGAGGGAAAACGCUGCCAAAUUGCAACCAGGCCAUUUCCUUACAAAUUUCUAACAAAUUUCUUAAAUCCAAAUUACACUGUUUUCCCGUAAACACCUUAUGCUAACUUAGGCAUCAAAGGGUUUACGCCGGCAAAACCACCGGCGUCUCUGACCCAUUUUUGUGAACGCAGAUCUAGUGAGAGAAAGGAGGGUGAUUCCAACCCUAGUGGUUCGAGCAAACAGUCGAUAACAUAAAUGUUGGUGACAGAAUCUGGUCGGUCCAAGGGCGAGCAGAUUUCAGCAUCAACAUUUUGGCGCCGUCUGUGGGGAGCUGGAUAAAAAACUACCACCGAAUUAGGAAGUACCGGAGAAACAGCGAACGGUUAGACAUGGAUGUGACGAGGAAGGACGCUUUGAUGGAGGAUAACGAAGCUGGGGAGACAAUCACUCUUCGGGAGAUUGCAAAUGAAGCCCAGGAGAGGGUGAUGCAAGAUUAAUUAGAACGGAUGGAGAGACAAAUGGAGACUCUCACGACCAUACUAUACGAGCUGAGGGAUGAACGGAGAAGAGAUUGUGAAACCCCCGCGAGGAGAGAUGAUGUUGGAACGGAACCUAGCCUCCGGAGGCGUAGGGUCGAGGAAAUCCCUCCGCUGGCAGACCAACCUAAUGGGGUGCAUCCCCACAGAAGCACUAGCCGGGUUCCAGGAGAACGAUUAAAUGAAGGAAGGGACCAACUUCUCCCCGGACAGGUAUUGGAAGUCAAUAGCCGAGGGGCCAGUGCUGACGAAGGAGAGCUCAGACAGCGGUUGCAUAAUGCCGAGCUGGAACGAGACCAGAUAGCUGCACGUGACCAUGGCCGUGCCAUUGAAUUGGAGGGGGAAGUGCGCAGAUUGGCACAGGUGAUGGAGGAGAUACAGGGCAGGAGAAAGCCCCCGAGCUGGAGGAUAAUGCUAGAUGAAGAAUCUCCAUUAUCAACCGAGAUCAUGGGUACCGUAAUCCAAAAAGACUUCCGCUUCCCCGACCUCAAAUACUCCGGGCGAAGUGACCCGCUGGUGCACAUCGAGCGUUUUAAAGACAUGACGGGUGUGCAGGGGCUGACACCGGCUCAGAGGUGCAGGGUGUUCCCAUUGACACUGGAGGGACGAGCUCGAGAAUGGUAUCGCAAGUUGCCCCGAGGAAGUAUAAAGGGGUACGAGCAGAUGUGCCAGGAGUUGGCCGAACAGUUCCGAGGAGCAGUAGCCCCAGAAGACGACAUGAUGGAACUGAUGGGGAUAAAACAGCAUGAGCAUGAGUCCCUACGGGAUUUUGUAAAGCGAUACCACCGAGCUGUACUUGAUUUGGGAGCUUUCAAUCACCCGCAGGCGUUGAGGGGAUUAAAGGAGGGUGUGAGGAUAGGCCGGCUAUGGUAUAACCUGAGAAGCCCCCUAGUGCAGAGUUAUUCAGCAGGGUAUGAGCAGGCAAAGAGGGACAUCGAAAUCGAAGAAGAAAAAUCGGCAAGGAUAAAGAGUGAACAGCUGGAGGAGCUGAGACGAAAGGAAAGGAGAGCUCCGAGUGGGAGCGGGUCGGGAAAGCGAGUUGGGGAAUCCUCAGUAAGGGGUAGCUCGGUCCCGCCCUUACCCCAUAGCUCCGAGAUCACAACAGUUCCAGUACAACCGGGCUCAACCUCCGCAUCCCCCAUUCCCGGAUCGACAGCGAGAAUUCCGGCAGAUGGCUGCCGACCCCUAUCACAACACUCCCAGAGCAUUACAUACAACCAAUUCCAGGGCUAGACGACCAGAUCAGUCAGCGACUAUGCCAGCCCGAGGUGACGUUCAUGAUAGCCGAGCAGUUCAGCUGGUAGACCAGAGCUUGGCAUAUAGACAAUACACUCCAUUAAAGAUCUCCAUGGAGGAAGUGUAUGAGAGGAUCGAGGGACGAGGCCUGCUGUACCCUCCAGCCCCAAUAACAAAACCGACUCACCGACGGGAUAAGAGCAGAUUCUGCAAGUUCUACGACACUCACGGUCACACUAUCAGCCAAUGUCGGGACCUGAAAAUUCAGGUGGAGGAUUUAGUGAGGAACCGUUACUUGGACGAGUAUGUAGAUGGAAUGUCCCCUAUCAUAGAAUCACAGUACCCACAGGAUGUAGGAGUUGAGAGGGAUCUAGAACGUGAACAGCCGACCAUCCGUGUGAUAGCAGGAGGGCCAACAUUGGCCGGGGACUCGAACAAAGCACGGAAGAACUAUGGGAGAUACGCCAUGACUGGCAAAGAGGUGCUUUUAAAUUUGCCAGCGGCCAAGAAGGCAAGACUGCUGCAAGUUCUCAUUAUGUGGACGGAGGAUGACGAAGAAGGCAUUCUAUAUCCUCACGAGGAUGCACUGGUGAUUAAGGCAUUGGUGGCUGGUACAGAAUUGCGGUGAAUAUUGGUAGACACGGGCAGCUCAGUAGACAUUCUGUUUAAGUCGGCCCUAAAUGAUAUAGGGAUUUCAGAUUUGAAGCUGGAGCGGACGAAUACAUCCUUGAAGGGGUUUGGAGGGGGAUGGUUAACUCCCAUGGGGGUCAUUGAACUCCCGAUUACUGUGGGGACAAAGCCAUUUGAAAGAAUGAUGAUGCUGGACUUUGUCGUGGUAGAGGAAAGAAGUCCUUACCAGAUGAUAUUGGGGAGACCGUUCAUGAGAAUAAGCCAAUGCGUAAUGUCCACGCAUUAUCUGGCACUAAAAUACAGAAUAAACGGAGUUGUGGGUGUAGUAAAGGGUGACCAGAGAAUGGCCAGGAGCUGCUAUGCUACAGCGGCCAAGGAAACACUGCAAGUUACCUCUCUAGAUAACCGAAGGGAUUCAAAGAACGGUCGCCAGGAACCUGUUGAGAAGCUGGAGGAAGUUGUUGUAAGCAGGAAUGACCCUAGCAGAGUGGUUAAGGUCGGAUCAGAAUCGGGCGAGGCAAUAAAAGGCGAGCUGGUAAAGUGUCUACAGUCCCAUGCAGACAUAUUUACCUGGUCUCAUGAGGAUAUGCCAGGUAUUAAUCGCGGGGUAGCUUGUCACAAGCUGGCAGUCAAGAAAGGGGCAAGGCCGGUGAGGCAGAAAAGGAGGUGCUUCAACCAGGAAAGAUACGAGGCCAUAAAUGCCGAGGUGGAAAAGCUGCUGAAAGCAGGAUUUAUAAGGGAAGCCAAAUACCCGGAAUGGAUUUCAAACGUAGUACUGGUAAAGAAGGCCAAUGGGAAGUGGAGAAUGUGUGUAGACUUCAUGGACCUCAACAAGGCAUGCCCGAAGGACAGCUUUCCCCUACCAAAAAUAGAUCAGUUGGUGGACUCAACCGCGGGUCAUAGUCUGCUCAGUUUCAUGGAUGCCUUUUCCGGAUACAACCAGAUACCCAUGGACGAGCAGGAUGAGGAAAGCACUACCUUUAUCACUAACAUGGGUCUGUUUUGUUACAGGGUGAUGCCCUUUGGUCUGAAAAAUGCAGGAGCUACCUAUCAAAGGCUAGUGAACAAGGUCUUCAAACCAUUGAUCGGUCACACUAUGGAAGUAUACAUGGACGAUAUGAUCACCAAGUCAAGGGAACCGAAAGAUCAUGUGAAGCACUUGAAAGAGACCUUCGAAUUGCUGAGAAUGUAUGAAAUGAAGCUGAACCCGGAGAAAUGUGCAUUUGGGGUCAGCUCAGGUAAAUUUUUGGGAUACCUGGUGAGCCAUCGAGGGAUUGAGGCCAACUCGGAAAAGAUAUGGGCGGUGAUAGAAAUGUGGUCUCCACGAACAGUUAAGGAGGUGCAGAGCCUUACGGGCAAAUUGGCAGCAUUGAACCGAUUCAUUUCGCGAGCCACUGAUAAGUGCCACCCUUUCUUCCAAAUCAUAAAGAAAGGGAAGAAGAUGGAAUGGACACCGGAAUGCGAGGAGGCAUUUGGACAGCUGAAGGAAUACUUGGCCCUCGCCAUGUUACUCUCAACUCCGAGAGAGGGUGACCAGCUGCUUUUGUACUUGGCAAUCUCCAAGCGGGCUACCAGCUCGGUCUUGGUCAGGGAAGAAGAAGGGAAGCAGCACCCGGUAUACUACACAAGCAAGGCUUUGGUAGACGCAGAAACCAGAUAUCCACUAAUGGAGAAGUGGGCGCUGGCUCUGGUAACGACAGCACGCAAGCUGCGACCAUAUUUCCAAGCCCAUCAGAUCGUUGUGACGACUGACCAGCCCCUUCGGCAAGUGCUUCAAAAACCAGAUGCGUCAGGUCGAUUAGUAAAAUGGUCCGUAGAAUUGAGCGAAUUUGACCUGUCCUACAGUCCCCGAGGAGCAGUCAAGGCCCAAGCCCUGGUAGAUUUUAUGGUUGACUGUGUUGAACCAGGGGAAGAAGUCCAAGAGGAACAACCCGCAGAACAGGAGGAUUCGAAAGGGAUAUGGCUGGUAAUGGUUGACGGGUCACGUAGUGAACAGGGAUCCGAGGCAAGAGUUAUAAUACGAAGCCCAGACGGUGUUGAGGUAUCCUACGCGGUAAAAUUUGAAUUCCAGCUUACGAACAACCAAGCUGAAUAUGAUGCCUUCAUUACUGGGCUCGGUCUCGCACAUGCACUACGAGCAGAAAGGGUAGAAAUCCGAGCAGAUUCCCAACUAGUAUGUAACCAGCUCAGCGAUCAGUUCCAAGCAAGGGGGGAGAAGAUGGGUCUUUAUCUAAAGAAAGCAAAACAGAUGGUUGGGCUUUUUCAAGAGGUGGAGGUAAAGCAGAUAUCUCGGAAUGAGAAUUACCGAGCAGAUAUGUUGGCUAGGAUGGUUGCAAUUGCAGAUCCGAAAUUUCCUAAGUCAGUUCCACUAGAGGUAAAGACCUCGCCAAGCAUAGGAGAGGAGAUAGAGGUGAUGAGAGUAAGCAUUGGAGAGUCAUGGAUGGACCCGAUCCGCGCAUAUAUCCGGGAUGGAAUCUUAUCGGAGGACAAAAGGCAAGCAAGGAUAUUAAAAUGCCGAGCAGCGAGGUACACGCUACUAGAUGGAGUGCUGUAUCGCCGAGGGUUCACCUUGCCCCUUUUGAGAUGUGUGGAUGAUGAGGAGGUGGAUUAUGUGCUGAGGGAGAUUCAUGAGGGAAUAUGCGGCAAUCACUCGGGAGCAAGAACUUUAGCCUUCAAGGCACUCCGGCAAGGAUACUUUUGGCCAACCAUGCACCAGGAUGCGAAAAGGAUGGCAAAGAAUUGUAAAACAUGCCAAAGCUUCUCCGAGGUUCUUGUACAACCCCCGGAAAAGCUGACGGCUAUGACAUCCCCGUGGCCUUUCACUCAAUGGGGAAUCGACUUGAUUGGUCCAUUACCUAAGGGACGAGGAGCGGCGACACAUGCAAUUGUGGCAAUAGAUUUUAUUUGGAAAAAUAUCAUCUGCAGAUAUGGGAAUCCUCAGCCAGAUCACAGAGAGAAAGACAACAGAUUUUAUUUGGAAAAAUAUCAUCUGCAGAUAUGGGAUCCCCUACGCCAUCAUCACAGACAAUGAGAGGCAAUUUGACAACUGCAACUUCAGGAAAUUUUACCAAAAUUUGGGGGUGGACCUGAGGUUCUGCACCCCCGUACACCCCCAGGCAAACGGACAAGUGGAAGCAGCCAACAAGGUGAUAAAGAAGCUCCUGAAGACUAGAUUGGGAGAGAAAAAGGGAGUUUGGGUUGACGAGCUACCAGGAGUACUGUGGGCCUACAGGACAACUCACAAAACCGCCACAGGGGAAACCCCGUUCGCUUUAGCUUUUGGUCAUGAGGCGGUAAUCCUAGCAGAAGUUGGAGUGGGAACACAUCGGACGGAAUAUUUCACCGAGGAGCAAAAUGACGAGCAGAUUUGCUUAAGUCUGGACCUGCUGGAGGAGAAAAGGGAAGGGGCAUUGCAGAAAGUGGCCCAGUACCAACAAAGGCUCAUGCGUUAUUACAACAAGAACGUACGCGUAAGGCAGUUCCGAGUAGGAGAUUGGGUACUUAGGAAGGUGAACCAAAACACCAGGGAUCCUAACCAUGGCGCUCUUGGCCCAAAGUGGGAAGGCCCAUACCGGGUGAUACGAGCCACUGGACCAGGAGCCUAUAAAUUAGUGUACCAAGAUGGACGAGAAGUGAAGAGGUCAUGGAACGCCGAACACCUGAAGAAGUAUUUCCAGUAAGCAAAGUGCUCUACUAAAUCCUCAUUUUGACAAGUUAUCUAUGUUAACUACAUAAUGGUUUUGCUGCACAUGUAUGUAUUCAGUAUUCUUGUAAUGCAUUCAAAUUUCAAAUAAAGAUGAAUUCAGCAUGAAAUCCCCCUGCUAGCAAGAUCAAUAAAAAUUUUACUAAGGCAAGUAAGUGCCUGCUUCUGCUCGGUCAACGAAGACCAGCAGCUAAUUUCUCGAAAGUUUCACUAAGGCAAGUAAGUGCCUGCUUCUGCUCGGUCAACGAAGACCAGCAGCUAAUUUCUCGAAUGUUUUACUAAGGCAAGUAAGUGUCUGCUUCUGCUCGGUCAACGAAGACCAGCAGCUAAUUUCUCGAAAGUUUCACUAAGGCAAGUAAGUGCCUGCUUCUGCUCGGUCAACGAAGACCAGCAGCUAAUUUCUCGAAAGUUUCACUAAGGCAAGUAAGUGCAUGCUUCUGCUCGGUCAACGAAGACCAGCAGCUAAUUUCUCGAAUGUUUUACUAAGGCAAGUAAGUGCCUGCUUCUGCUCGGUCAACGAAGACCAGCAGCUAAUUUCUCGAAAGUUUCACUAAGGCAAGUAAGUGCCUGCUUGUGCUCGGUCAACGAAGACCAGCAGCUAAUUUCUCGAAAGUUUCAUUAAGGCAAGUAAGUGCCUGCAUCUGCUCGGUCAACGAAGACCAGCAGCUAAUUUCUCGAAAGUUUCACUUAGGCAAGUAAAAGUCUGUUUCUGUUCGGUCAACAAAGACCAGCAGCUAAUUUCUCAAAAAUUCUACUAAGGCAACAAAGGGCUUGUUUCUGCUCGGUCAACGAAAGACCAGCAGCUAAAGCUACGAAAAUUCUACUAAGGCAACAAAGUGCCUGUUUCUGCUCGGUCAACGAAAGACCAGCAGCUAAAUUUACGAAACUUUUACUAAGGCAAGUAAGUGUCUGCUCCUGCUCAGUCACCGAAGACCAGCAGGCAGUUUUGCGAAAAUUUUACUAAGGCAAACGGAUGCCUAUUCCUGUUCGAUGCACUAAAGAACCAACAGGCAAAACCAGACAAGAAAGCCAAUAGAGAACAUUCAAAAAAAUUUCAUAAACGUUCAAAUGUUUACAAAGCAAAUGAAAAAAAUAGUCUGUACAAAAAUAGACCUAAGGAUUAGGAGGAUCUACGGCCUCAGCAGGUGAAGGGUCAGCUAUCUCGGGAGGUGGAAGGUCAGCAAUAUCGGGAGGAGGAGGCACGGACCCCUGUCCCACUUCAAAAACACGCUACCCAGCUUCUCCCUCCGGCACCUCAUCCAAAAGAGCCUCCACCUGCUCCUGCUCACCCUGCUCCUUGUCUACUUGGUCGACCUCCGCCAUAUACCGCUGCACUCCGGCCUCUAGCUUGCUCAUGUCCAGCUCGGGAUAUUCUGUCUUAAGCACAGACAUGAUGCACUUGUAGGAGAAGGCAACCCCAGAAUCAUACUCGGCAUCCAGCCGAUCAUCCACAUCAGCGGAUUUGCCUUUCUCCUCGGCCAGCUGCUCACCCAAGGAUUUGAUUUCCUCCUCAAGGGCAAACCUCAAAGUAUCCCUUUCAGUUUGAGUAGCCUGAAGAUCAUAUCUCAGGUCACCCAACUCGCCCUCGAGUUUGGAGGAAGUGGAUUCAGCAACCGCAACCUUCUCCUCUAGCUCCGCAAUCUGCUUGUUCAGCUCAGCCAGUUUCUCCUUGGAGCGAUCAGCAGAGUCAGCUUUCUUCUUCAAUUCAUGAUUGUCAGCUUGGAGCUUCCUCUCAUGGGGCGCGGACCCAAUCUUGUAGCACGAAACCAUGGUGGCCAGCCUGAAAGACACUCUCUGAACAGAAGCAGCUAGCUCGGAGAGGUUCAUACUCUCGAUGUCCUUCACCAUCUUGGGCCCCACCGAUUUCUUGAAAUCCUUCUGAUACAGACUCAAGUAGUCCGCUUGAUCCUGAGAAGGUAGCGGAGAAGCCCGGUCCCCAGACUGGUAGCUGACCUCAGGACUCUUAUCAGAAGUUUUCUCCCCGCCACUCUUACGGGGUGGGGGAGGGGGCAGAGCAGGGACAAGAGCCUUGGAAUGGCCGACGCUGGUUUUCUUCGAAGGAGGAGGAGGAUUGCUGAAGCUGCUCCGAGCCCGACCACGCUUCCUGCUCAUCGCGCUGAGGAUCUUAUUAUCCAUUCCAGCGGCAAUGUCCACUAGGCCCGAACCGACCAGGUUUGUUGGAGACAAGAGGUCUUGGCAAGUAGACGCGUUCACCAGAGCAGUUUCCACCUGAAGCAAAGGACGAUCUCCAAGCCCCCCGAUCAAACCCCACGACUCUGAAAUAGCAAAAGAGGUUAAAGAACUCGAUAAGUGACAAUUUGAGAAAGAAUAUAGGCAAAAAAUGAACGACCUGGGGUGACAAACUGCGUUGGAAGGUAAAUAUCACCACCCAACGAACGGAGUGCUGGACACCAAUUUACCCCAGCAAAGAAGAAUUUGUUCUUCCAAUUUUUGCACGAGGAGGGGAAACCGGUGAUUGGCUUUCCCUUCGCAGAACUGGACAUGAAGUAGUACCAGCCCGCCUCCCUUGGGCUGCUCCGCAGCUGAUACAGAUGUUUCACUUCAACAAGGGAAGGCUCCUCCAACCCGCACCUCUCCCACAACACAAACAUUGCCGAGAGAACCCUCCACCCGUUCGGGUGUAGCUGACCUGGGGCCAGGUGCAUACCUCCUAAUAUCUUGGCAAAAUAACGUUGAAGGGGCAGCCGAGCUCCUAGUUUGAAACUCUCUAGGUGCAUCGUCACAUACCCCCGCGGAGGCCGACUAGGAACAUCACCCUUCCCAGGAACUACAAGAAGAACCUCCUCAGGAAUGUCGUAGAGGUUCCUAAGCUUGAACAGGUCAGUUUGGGUGGUAGCACAGGCUAUGUAAUCAAUAGGGUAGGAAUCAGCCUCCACCCUAUGGCCAAGAUUCCUUUUCUUAGCAGGUCCGCUCGGUCCGAAACUGCUCCCUUCACCAUCACCAACUCUUUCAGGGAUCCCAACCCCACCAGAGCUGUGGUUCUCACCAGAGCCCGAAGCAGGUCCACCUCUAUUCCCUACAAGCUCUAGUUCGGGGGAGGGAGAGGCAACCAAGGGGCGUAGAUACUCAAGGGUAUCCCUGCCAUGGGAAGGACCUACACUACUGGAGGGACCUAAGAAAUCAGUGGGUAUUGACACGUUGAGGCCUGAAUCCCCUGAUUCUUCGCCACCCUCAUCAACAAUUAAUUUUCUCUUCCGGUUUGACAUAUCGAAAUCCCAAAAGAAAACAAAGAAAACUCGAAUAUACGGAUACAAAAGGGGGCAACACGGAACCCAAUCAACAACAACCAGAGAAGAGAUUAAAAGCAGUACCUGAAAUGAACUGGCCCUGAUAGCGCUGCCUUGACAGAGAAAGAACCAGCAAGUAGAAACUCCGGACGCAAGAAGUGUGAGUAAAGUUCAAAAAGAGGGUAGGUUAACGACGGAGAGACGGGUAGUAAAAGAUGACGAUAUAAGUCUAGGGAUUUGAAACGAAAAGGGGGAAAUGAAAGCAUUUAAGUGAUGGAAACGCACCGUACAUCGAGGACAGCUAGCCCGUCGUUUCAAAUUUCAAAAUACGAAGAGUCUGGGGAUGCCACGUCACCAACUGUUACAAGAGGCCAGGCUAGAUGCAAGCCCAGAUACGCAAUGGCCAUGCUCAUUUAGGCCCAUGCUCAGGUCAAAACCUCCCCUGAAGAAAAGAAAUCCUCAGGUCUGUCCUGGUAGACAGAAGACCAGAGGAGAAGCCCCCGGAUUGGCUAGAUUUGACAAUCAGUUUCUACUCUUGACUCAUUUCACUCACAAGACCAGAAAUUGGGGGACUGGUGUUAAGCAAAUAAAAGCACUAGGUCGGCCAUGCUAUUAUUUCCACCCCGGCAUGAGUCACCUCAGCCAAAUGGUACGAGCAGAACAGGGGGCAACAUGAGCCGAGCACAGACGAAUACUGACCAGAGGUAUAUACCGAGUCGAUACCCAUCCCCCAAAAAGCGGAAACACGAUCUCACAGAAUCGCGGCAGUUGCGCUUUCCCAGAACCGUUGCGGGAGACGCGACAUCCCACGUUUGUCCAUAACGCAGCAGUUAGUGUCCCAUGAGGGGCUGCCACUACCCGAAAAAGGUGGGAUGAAGGGCAAACGGAAACGUGGGGACAGCGGCUAUAAAAGAAGAAGAAAUCGACGAAGAAUGGGACAGAAAAACUGGGAGAGGGAAAACGCUGUCAAAUUGCAACCAGGCCAUUUCCUUACAAAUUUCUAACAAAUUUCUUAAAUCCAAAUUACAUUGUUUUCCCGUAAACACUGAAAUACUAACUCGGCAACCCAAGAGGGGGGGUGAAUUGGGAUUUUAAAAAUUAUCCUAGGCAAACCACACAACAAUUUAAUCUAAUGCCUUAAUAAACUAGAAAACAAUAAAUUCAAUAAAAGCACAAUAAUAAAUGAGUAAGGGAAGAGAAAGCAAACUCAAGGAUUUUUACGUGGUUCGGCAAUCCCCGCCUACGUCCACGUCUCCAAGCACACCGGGCUUGAGGAUUUCACUAAGCUAGCCUCCCAAGGCUUCAAACACUUACAAUUGACUUCCAAGGUGUCAAUGGACCUUUACAACAAGAGAUUAUCUCCAAUCUCUUAACUCAAGUGUAUCCCAACACUUAACUUCUUUUAACUUGAUUUUACAAAAAAGAUUACAAAUGAAUCCCUCUCACACAAUGUGUUUGAUCUCAAGUGAAAGCUCAAUGUGUGAAUGAAUGAGAUGAAUACAAAGAUUUAAAGCUCAAUGAAAGUUGUAUUCUCAAUAAUUUGCUCAAUGAUGAUCGUUGGAAUUCUUCUUGUUUGAAUUGGAUUGAGCUUAUUUAUAGUUGGAGCUGAAAAACUAGCCGUUAUAGAUUGUCUGCACGAAAACAGUUCGCCGUUAACCAUUAACGGUUAACCGUUUAGGCUGGUCAAAGUUACCGUUGGGCCAAUUUUCAAAUAAACGGUUAGCCGUUUAGGCUUACCCUUUCGCCGCUAAUUUCCAGAGACCUGCGAAACAAAUUUGGUUUAACUGUUCUUACUAAACGGUUCAAGGUUAGCAAUCUGGAAAUAAUCAGUUAACCGUUUUCAGUAAACGGUUCACCGUUAGUUUCCAGAAUCAUCAUUUUAACAAUACUUUGCAGAACAUGCUUUCUGGAAAUUAUCGGUUAGCCGUUUUUAAAUAAACGGUUAGCCGUUUGCUACAGUGAUUGCUACAGUAACCUGCACAGUGCAUUAUUUUCCAAAAUUACAGUUUGACCCUAAAACUUUAUAAAACUGUACUAUAGCCCAAAACGUUAUGAAACUUUGCAAAUAGGUCCAAUUUCAGAAUUUCUAAAUAAUGCUUUGUUAAUCCUAAAACUUUCUGAAAUUAUGUUAUAGCCCAAAAUGCUAUGACACUUUUCAAAUAAGUCCUUCACCAAAAUUUCAAGCAAUACUUGUUUGUUUCAAAGUUUUCAAAAUGCUUUCAAUUAAACCAUAAACUUUGAAAAACAACUAAUUUCAUAAAAUCAUUUUUCCAUUAAAUAUGAAACAUUUAUAAUGUGAAAAUAAUGAUUUAUUAUUUAAAAAGAAUAAAAACAAUCAAUUUCAUAAAAUCAUUUUUCCAUUAAAUACAAAACAUUUAUAAUGUGAAAAUAAUGAUUUAUUUAAAAAGAAUAUUAAAUAAUUUGAGCUUAAAAGAUUAAUCAUUUUUAAACUUAUUUGUUAUCAUCAAAAUCAAUAUUAUGGAAACAUAUAUGUUAACAAUCUCCCCAUUUUUGAUGAUGACAAACAUUUCAUGUAUUUAAAGAAUGAUUCCACAAAUUGCUUCCCCUAAAUAUAAUUUUCUUUUACAAUUUGCCAAUUAGCGAAGUUAAUGAUUUAAAUACAUGGAUUUUUCUCCCCCUCAUCAUCAAAAAGAAAAACUUAAUUGGCAAAGAAAAAAGUAGCAAAUUUUUAUAAAUUUAAAAACAUGUAUUCUUCUCCCCUUUCAUCAUAAAAAAGAAAACGUAAAGGAAAAGAAUAAAAGUAGCAAAUUUGUUACCCAUGUUGUUUGAGUAGAAAUUUUGAAAGAAUCUCCCACUAACAACAAGCAUUACCUCAAAUACAAGAUUAGUAAUAUUACUCCCAAAUUAUUAUACAUCAUGAUAAAAGCCAACUCCAUACACAAAUCAUCACACUAAAAUAUCAUGAAUCAUUAUUCCAUCAAUUACUAAAUCAACAACUCAUAACAUGAAAUUAUCAUAUAAAACACCCAUGUAAUCAAAUCAUCAUUAUCUCAAAUUCAUCAAAAUCAUCAUCAUAAUCAAAUAUCAAUUAUCAAAACAAUUACUCAAAAUGCAUAUUAUUCUCCUUCUUUUGACUACAUCGAAAUAAUAUAUUAUUUUGUCUCCCCCUUUGGACAACAAAAAAAAAUUAAAAUUAAAAUGCAUAUUAUCCAAGAUCAUAUUAUAUGCUCCCCCUAAAUAUAUGGCCAAUUUAAAAUUUUAACCGAAAUGAUUUUAUCCAAAAACAUAUCAUAGUUAUCUCCCCCUAUCAAUCAUCAAGAAAUUAAAUCAUUCCAAGUUUAUGCCGAAUUUUUGAAAAUUCUUCUUCGCAAAGAGGUUUUGAUUUCUUUACCAAAUUGGCAUGCAUAUUAUCAAAUAUUCAAGCUCCAUAAUUACCAAUCACAUUUUAUAAAUAAAGACAACUAAACUCAACAAAUAUCUAAUGUGACAUUUCAAUAUAACAAAAAAAAUCUCAUAUGCUUAAAAUUCUCGAAGUAUAUGUAUUUCUCCCCUUAUCGAUAUUAUUUAAAACAAGUAAUGCAUAUUUGACAAUACAUCAAUAAAGUAAAAAAAAUGCAUUCAUUCACCAAUCAUAGAUCCCAUAAGAUCAAACUUCCUCAAAUACAUGUAAUUAUCAAAGCAUAUUCUUUAUCUCAAAUCUUAAGCAAAGCAUAAGUGUAUAAUUGCAAUAUAAGAUCAUCAAAAUCAACAUAGCUAUUAAGAUAAGCCAUCAUUAUGAGUUAAGAACAAGUGAUCAAAUUCAUUAUUACAAAUGCUCACAUAUAUUUUUAAGUGAUGAUAUAGUAGUUACACCUUGUGAUGGAUCUUUCAAAAUAAAGUUCUUAAGGUGAGAAGAAACAUACCUCCACUCCUUAGGGAGUGUUUGAGAAGUACCUUCAUUUUACUCCGCAUUUGUUUCUUCAUGUUGUUCCUCUUGAUUUUCAAGUGGUGCAUUCUUUUGGCUAUCCUUUGAUAAUCUUCUUGUAACUUUUCAUCUACAUUAUCAUCAACAACAACUUUCUCCGUAGAUGAAAAAUUAGACUCAUCAAAUAUAACAUGUAUAAAUUCUUCUACAAUCAAAGAUCUUUUGUUAUACACUCCAUAAGUUUUGCUUGUGUUUGAAUAGCCAAGAAAAAUACCAACAUCAAAUUUUAGAUCAAAUUUUCCAAGAUUAUCUUUUGUACUCAAAAUAAAACAUUUGCAUCCAAAAACUUUGCAAUAACUAAUGUUGGGUUUUCUAUAAUUCCAAAGCCCAUAGAGAGUAUUAUUGAGAUGAUGUCUAAUCAAUGUGGUCCUAGCCAUUUUUUGAAUAGACCUAUUCUUUCUCUUUACAACUCCAUUUUGUUGUGGAGUCCUAAGUGAUGAAAAUUUAUGCUCAAUGGAAAAUCAUUACAAAAAAAAUCUCAAAUGCAUGAUUUUCAAAUUCUCCACCAUGAUCAUUUAUAAUACAAGAAAUAACAUAUAACUCAUCUAUCAUGCAUAUACAUCACACAAUCAUGAAAUAUGUAAGUAUUCAAAGAUUGAGAAUUAAAGCAUAUCACUUAUUUGUCAUGCUUAGGCAUUAAAUAAUCAAAACAAAUCCAUCAUGAUAAGUUGACAAGCUAUCAUCUUAUAUAUACAACCAUGCAUCAUGAUAAAACACUCAAUGUUAAACACAUUAUCCAAAUAUAAAACAUCCAAAUAUCAACCAAUAAUCAUCAUCAAUCCACAAUGAAAGCAACAAUGCAUAUGAAAAUGUAAGUGCAUAAUAUAAUAGAAAACUAUGGUAAAAUCCAUAAGGAGAGCUCAUUAUAAAAGUGGUAAUUUGAAAUACUCAAAAUGCACAAAUUCGGAUUUUCAAAAUAAAGAGUAAGUUUGAAUCAAUUAAAAUGAUUUUAGAAAUGAAGAGAAAUUUGAAUGAAAAUAGAGGUGAGCAGCUCACGGUUUUGGAGAGAGAAAGAACAUGUGAAGACCGAAUGAGGAAGAAAGAUGAAUAGUGCUAAUAAACCUCCGAAUUCGGCUUGCCGGAUUUGUGAUCCGGUUGGCCAGAUAUUGGCCCGAGAGUGAGAAGCACGAAUUCGGCUUGCCGGUUUGCAUAAUCGGCUAGCCGGUUUCGAGACAGAUUUGUGACUCCACAAAUUCGGCUUGCCGGAUUUUGAAGAACCGGAAAUCUGGUUAUGUUCCAGAGAGGUCUUCACUUGAAUCCGGUUAUCCGAAUGUUGUCCCAAGAGCAACCAAAGCUAAUCCGGUUUUCCGGAUUGAAAAUCCAGUUAUCCGGAAUUUGACCCGAGAGAAAUCAAUAAGAAAGCGGUUUUCCGGAUUAGAGAAAGUGAUAAACCGAUUUAGUCAUUGGAAAUCUAUUUGGCUCUAAUUGAUUUUUGGCAAGCUUUUAUACUUGAACUACACACACCAUUUUAUUUUUGGCUUUAAAAAUUGAUUAAUUUUUUAAUCAUUUUGAGAUUUAAAACUUUUCAAUAAGCCAAUUAGUGCAUGAAACAUAUAUGCAUACAAGACCAAACAUAUGAAAUCAUAUCAAACAAUGAUGUCAAUUUUAUAAAUGAAUGAUGAUAUAACACAAUUAAUGGCAUAUGAAUUCACUCAUAUAUAAGAGAUGGACAAUGAUGAUAGACAAUUAAGAAGAUGAAAUCAUAGACUAUACAAUCAUCAAAAUCAAACAAAGGCAUCAUGAUAAAUCACUCAAUAUUAUACACAAUGAUAAUUCCAUCAUGUAAACAUACAAGCAUACUUUCGCAAUUUCAUUUAUAAUGAUUCAUUCAACAAAAUUAAUAUGGCAAGAAUUGUUACCAAAACAAUUAAAUCAUCUUGCCUCAUCUUUUUCUCCUAGCUGAUACUCAAGUGAAUAUCCUCACAAGCUUUCAUCAAGGAACUUCUCCACCAUUCCUUGAUUGUGGUACCUACAAAACAAAUUCAAGUUGUACCCUUUGGUACCCAAAUAUUCUUGGGUCCUUGAGUGUUAGCAAUGGUUCCUUUUGGAACCCAAAUACACUUGACUCCAUAAUAUACAUGUCUCUUAAUUGGACAUUUAUUCUUCAUAUGACCAUUUUGAUUGCAAUAAUGACAAACAAUUUUAUGAUCACUUGUGGAGGUAGCCUUAACAAAAUAAUUCUUAUAAUAUUUUUGUUUCAAAUAAGGCUUAUACCCAAGUCCUCCUUUAUCAAACACACAUUUUUGAGUGCUUAGUAAUUUUUCUAAGUUCUUUUGACCAUUUGUGAAUUUUAACACAAUUUCAUUGAGCUCAUUACUCUUUUUCUUAAGCACAUCCUUUUCAUUCAUCAAUUUAUCAACAUGUGAUUUUUCAUGCUCAUACGAAAUACUUUGUUGACAUUUAAAUGAUGCAAUCCUAUCAUGUAACAAUUUAUUAUCCAACUCUAGUCCUUUAAUCUUUUCAUUUAAUGAAUCAUUGCAUUUCUGUAAAGCAUCAUUUUCAUUUUUCAAGUCAUCUACAUAUGAUUCUAGAUGCUAAUGUGAAGUGCUAAGUUUCUCAUUUGAUAAUGCAACUCUAUUAUGCAAGGUUUUAUUAUCUAAUUAUAAUCCUUUAAUCUUCUCAUUCAAUGACUCAUUGCAUUUUUGCAUGGCAUCCUUUUCAUUUGUAGAUUCUAGCAAUUUCGUUUUAAGGCAUGCAUUCUUUUUACCAAAUUUCAUCAACUCAUCAUGCAUUUCUUUAAAAGCAUCAUACAAUUCAUCAUAGGUUGGAUCACUUACCUCAUCAAGUUCAUCAUCUGAUUCAUCUCCAAUUGCCAUAAGUGCCAAAUUCGACACUUCAUGAAAUUCCUCCUCGUUUGUAGUCUCCUCAUACACAAUUUCAAGUUUUCUCCAAAUUUCAUAAGCAUUAGAACAAUUUGAAACUCUAUGAAAUUCAUUUUUAUCUAAGGCACAAAAUAAAGCAUUCAUAGCCUUGGAAUUUAAAGACAUAUUUUUCUUAUCCAACUCACUUAAAGCAUUCUUUCUAGGAAUGAAUAAAUCAUUACAAACAACUUCCCAAAUUUCAUAAUCUAAAGCUUGUAAAUAAAUUCUCAUCCUAGUUUUCCAAUAAGGAUAAUCAUUUCCAUCGAAAAAUGGAGGUCUAGUGAUAGAUUGGCCUUCCAUGAUGGUUGAGCUAAUUUGGGUUGCUAUGGAUCUUUAACUCUAGACGGUUAAGUCUACACAAGAGCACCUUGCUCUGAUACCAAAUGAAAUACUAACUAGGCAACCCAAGAGGGGGGGUGAAUUGGGAUUUUAAAAAUUAUCCUAGGCAAACCACACAACAAUUUAAUCUAAUGCCUUAAUAAAUUAGAAAACAAUAAAUUCAAUAAAAGCACAAUAAUAAAUGAGUAAGGGAAGAGAAAGCAAACUCAAGAAUUUUUACGUGGUUCGGCAAUCCCCGGCUACGUCCACGCCUCCAAGCACACCGGGCUUGAGGAUUUCACUAAGCUAGCCUCCCAAGGCUUCAAACGCUUACAAUUGACUUCCAAGGUGUCAAUGGACCUUUACAACAAGAGAUUAUCUCCAAUCUCUUAACCCAAGUGUAUCCCAACACUUACAAUCUUUUAACUUGAUUUUACAAAAAAGAUUACAAAUGAAUCCCUCUCACACAAUGUGUUUGAUCUCAAGUGAAAGCUCAAUGUGUGAAUGAAUGAGAUGAAUACAAAGAUUUAAAGCUCAAUGAAAGUUGUAUUCUCAAUAUUUUGCUCAAUGAUGAUCGUUGGAAUUCUUCUUGUUUGAAUUGGAUUGAGCUUAUUUAUAGUUGGAGCUGAAAAACUAGCCGUUAUAGAUUGUCUGCACGAAAACGGUUCGCCGUUAACCAUUAACGGUUAACCGUUUAGGCUGGUCAAAGUUACCGUUGGGCCAAUUUUCAAAUAAACGGUUAGCCGUUUAGGCUUACCCUUUCGCCGUUAAUUUCCAGAGACCUGCGAAACAAAUUUGGUUUAACCGUUCUUACUAAACGGUUCAAGGUUAGCAAUCUGGAAAUAAUCGGUUAACCGUUUUCAGUAAACGGUUCACCGUUAAUUUCCAGAAUCAUCAUUUUAACAAUACUUUGCAGAACAUGCUUUUUGGAAAUUAUCGGUUAGCCGUUUUUAAAUAAACGGUUAGCCGUUUGCUACAAUGAUUGCUACAGUAACCUGCACAGUGCAUUAUUUUCCAAAAUUAUAGUUUGACCCUAAAACUUUACAAAACUCUACUAUAGCCCAAAACGUUAUGAAACUUUGCAAAUAGGUCCAAUUUUAGAAUUUCUAAGUAAUGCUUUGUUAAUCCCAAAACUUUCUGAAAUUAUGUUAUAGCCCAAAAUGCUAUGACACUUUUCAAAUAAGUCCUUCACCAAAAUUUCAAGCAAUACUUGUUUGUUUCAAAGUUUUCAAAAUACUUUCAAUUAAACCAUAAACUUUGAAAAACAACCAAUUUCAUAAAAUCAUUUUUCCAUUAAAUAUGAAACAUUUAUAAUGUGAAAAUAAUUAUUUAUUGAAAAAGAAUAAAAACAAUCAAUUUCAUAAAAUCAUUUUUCCAUUAAAUACAAAACAUUUAUAAUGUGAAAAUAAUGAUUUAUUUAAAAAGAAUAUUAAAUAAUUUGAGCUUAAAAGAUUAAUCAUUCUUAAACUUAUUUGUUAUCAUCAAAAUCAAUAUUAUGGAAACAUAUAUGUUAACACCUUAUGCUAACUUAGGCAUCGGAGGGUUUACGCCGGCAAAACCACCGGCGUCUCUGACCCAUUUUUGUGAACGCAGGUCUAGUGAGAGAAAGGAGGGUGAUUCCAACCCUAGUGGUUCGAGUAAACAGUCGAUAACAUAAGCGUUGGUGACAGAAUCUGGUCGGUCCAAGGGCGAGCAGAUUUCAGCAUCAACAGUCACUAACAAUUUUUUUUUCUCCAUUUUCUAUUUUACGGGUAUUAGCAACCAAAGAUUCUUUUUGUUUGUCAAAGCACUCUCUGCAUCCACCAUCAAAAUUAUCCGAUGAGAUUUAAGCCUUCAUUCUAGUUCAUUCUAGUUUCCCCACUUAAACAAAUUUUUAAAAUGUUUAGUUCCAAGAUUAACCAAAUUUGGCACUAAAACAAUAUAAAUUAUAUUAUUUUUAUCGAAAUACUAUUUUAAAAAAAAACUAACAUCGUAACUAACGAUCAGAAGAAAAAAGAAAUGAGAUUACUCUACCAAUUGUUUGAAAUAAUUUUUGAAUACCUUAUAGGGUAAAUUUCUUAUUAUCCCCUAGUGUUUAUUAUCUUCAAAUCACUUUUUUAUUUAUGAAAAUCUCAAAUUACCCUAUUUUAAUUCAAAAGAUAAAGGAAACCCAAAAGCGAAAUGAUCUAAUUACCAUCCUUCUUUUUCUAGGAGUGGUUGAUGAAUUUUUUUUUCUCAAUAAAAAUGAAGGAUAAAUUAAAGUCUUUAAAAAAUAAUGGUUACUUAAAAAGAGUAAAUUAAAAAAAAUUUAAAAAUAUAGGUGAUUUAAAGAUAGUCAAUUCACCGUAGAUAAUCGAAAAUUCUUCCUAAUUUAUACAAUUCUGAGGAUAUUGUUUUGUGACUUAUGAUGAACGACAUUCAACUUUAAUUUAGAUGCAAUGGAAGUGGCGUAAAUCGUGCUUUACUUUUUAUUUUAUUCCCCAGCCCCCAACCCCACCACACCCCAACCACCCCCCCCCCCCCCCCCAAAAUCGAUUUUUCUCGUUCAAUUUCGAUUAAGGGUAAUAACGGAAAUGUGAAAGUGCAGGUUUAUAAGGAUAGCUGGGGGUGUGAAAAGCAUUACUCAUAAUCAUUAUACAAUAUUUGCACAGAAAGCGAGCAGGCUUUGUACAUAAAUUCAGAACAGUGGCAAAUAGAUCGAUCUGGGCUUUUGUAGCAAAUGAAGCAAAGGAAGUUUUUUGGGCUUGUGAUCUGCAUCGUAGAGAUGCCGGUAGCGCAUGCUAAUCUUCACAUAUGAAUAAGAAUCGGCUUCAAAUAAGAGAUCCUUUUUCUCUUUCCCGUUUUCGGUAGUGCUGGCAAAAUGGGUCAUUGGGUCGUAUUCAUAUCGUGUCAGUUUCAUGUCAUGUUAAAUUUAAGUUGACUUAAAUCUGACCCAUUUAAUAAUCGUGUCAAAAUAUUGAGACCUAAACCCGACACAAAAAAAUAAUCGAAUUACCCAAUAACCCGCUUAAUGUCUAUAUAUUAAACAAAAGUUACAUCAAAUAUUUACACAUUGUCAUAAAUACGUAUGCGCAUACAUACAUACAUACAUAAUUUAUCGAUAUUAUAAAAUAUAUAUAUUUACUAAAAUAUUACACACACUAUUGAUGUUUUAAUU